GCCCAUUGGCCGCGGGUGCUACCGGGGCGAGGGAGGAGGGCAGGCCGGGCCAGGCCUCCGGGGCUGAGCGCGGAGGCGAGCGGGUAGCGCCGCGUCCCAGCGCGAUCCCGCGGGGCGCCGGCUGCGCGGCCUGGCUCCCCCGGCCAUGCUGUCGCGGGGGGCGGCGAGCGGGCGGGCGCUGCGCGGGGCGGCGCGGGCUGGCGGGCAGCCGUCUCUCCGUGGCCUCCGCGCCUCUCCGCGGGCGCGGUCCGCCAUGCCCUCCUGGGUCAUAGACCGGUACGGCCGCAACGAUGUGCUGCGCUUCACCAGGAACAUGGUGUUCCCCAUCAUACACUUCCCGAACGAGGUCAUCAUUAAGGUUCAUGCUGCGAGCCUGAACCCCAUCGACCUUAGCAUGAGAAGUGGUUAUGGUGCAACUGCAUUAAAUAUGAAGCGGGAUCCCCUGAAAAUCAAAGGCUCAGAUACUGAAUUUCCAUUAACACUUGGUCGAGAUGUCUCUGGUGUUGUUAUGGAAUGUGGACUGAGUGUGUCUUGUUUCAAACCUGGAGAUGAGGUGUGGGCAGCAAUUCCUCCAUGGAAACAGGGCACUCUGUCAGAGUUUGUGGUAGCUAGUGGAAACGAGGUGUCUUUUAAGCCAAAGUGUCUCAGUCACACAGAAGCUGCUUCCUUACCGUAUGUAGGUCUCACAGCCUGGUCUGCAGUUAACCAAGUUGGAGGACUGAACCGAAAUAAUUGUAGUGGGAAAAGAGUAUUAAUAUUAGGAGCUUCAGGAGGAGUUGGUACGUUUGCUGUACAGCUAGUGAAGGCCUGGGGUGCUCACGUGACAGCAGUUUGUUCUCAUGAUGCCAGCACACUGAUGAAAAAGCUUGGAGCGGAUGAUGUGAUUGAUUACAAAUCUGGAAAUCUGGAAGAGCAACUUAAAACAUUACCCUUAUUUGAUUUCAUCCUAGAUAACGUUGGUGGAUCCACUGAGAAGUGGGCUCUAGAUCUCCUUAAGAAAUGGUCAGGAGCAACAUAUGUUACCUUAGUGACACCUUUCCUCAUCAAUAUGGACAGACUUGGAGUAGCCGAUGGCAUGUUACAAACAGGAGUCACUGUUGGUUCCAAAACUGUGAAGCAUCUUUUUAAAGGAGUCCAUUAUCGGUGGGCAUUUUUUAUGCCAAGUGGCCCAAGUUUGGAUGAAAUAGCAGAACUAGUUGAUUCUGGAAAGGACAUUGUAGCUUGCUUAUGCUCUUUAUGAAAGUGCUGUGUGAUUACAUCCCAAAGUGUCUGUGAGGAAGACUAAUGGAAAUUUUGCAUACUGUGGAGAGAUGGGGUUUGAAUAUGUAAAUUCACAUAUAUCACAAUGAGGUCUGGAAAAAUUUCAUCAUAUACCAGAUUCAACCAGUUAUUGAUCAAGUCUUCUCUUUUUCUGAAGUUCCAAAGGCAUUUCUGAAAUUGGAAGGAGGACACGCACGUGGAAAAACAG
This is an RNA transcript of Grus americana (Whooping crane), 1468 nucleotides long. It is a transcript of the gene named reticulon 4 interacting protein 1, with no coding region annotated. The transcript has 10 exons. Lineage: Eukaryota; Metazoa; Chordata; Aves; Gruiformes; Gruidae. The record is from RefSeq and is a predicted model, not a curated record.